CUUGGUCAUUUAGAGGAAGUAAAAGUCGUAACAAGGUCUUCGUAGGUGAACCUGCGAAGGGAUCAUUACAAAAGGCUCCGGCCAAAUUUAACUCUUGUGAAACUUCUGUCUACACGCAAAACUUUCAACAACGGAUCUCUUGGCUCUGGCGUCGAUGAAGAACGCAGCUAAAUGCGAUACGUGAUGUGAAUUGCAGAUUGUGAAUCAUCGAAACUUUGAACGCACAUUGCGCCUUUUGGUAUUCCGGAGGGCAUGUCUGUUUGAGCGUUGUUAACUCUCGGAAGGUCUUGGAGGUUGCUUCUCCGCACCCCUUAAACCGACGGCAACGUGUCAGCGGUGAAACGCUAAGCUGCGCCGAUCAAUAUUUUUCUCCUCAACCUCAAAUCAGACAAGAGUACCCGCUGAACUUAAGCAUAUCAAUAAGCGGAGGAAAAGAAACCAACAGGGAUGGCCCUAGUAACGGCGAGCGAAGCGGCCACAGCUCAGAUUUGGAACCGGGCAACCGGGUUGUAAUCUGCAGAGGAGGAUCCGGCAGCGGCAGAACUCAAGUCCUCUGGAAUGAGGCGCCUUGGACGGUGACAGCCCGGUGAAGUUCAUGCCAACGCCAUUCGGGCCUCUCUCAACGAGUCGAGUUGUUUGGGAUUGCAGCUCUAAUUGGGAGGUAAAUUCCUUCUAAGGCUAAAUAUCCGCCAGAGACCGAUAGCGAACAAGUAGAGUGAUCGAAAGAUGAAAAGCACUUUGGAAAGAGAGUCAAACAGCGCGUGAAAUUGUUGAAAGGGAAGCGCUCGUUGUCAGCCGUGGCAGUCUGCUCAGCCGGUCCGUCAGGGCCGGUGCGUUCAGGCCUGCCAGGCCAGCAUCGGUUUGGGCAGCUGGAUAAAAGCGCGGGAACGUGGCUCCUCGGAGUGUUAUAGCCCGCGCCGACACAGCUCGUCCAGACCGAGGUCUGCGAUUUCUCAGAUGCUGGCGUAAGGGCACCGAGCGGCCCGUCUUGAAACACGGACC
Molecule: ribosomal RNA, 1002 nt
Filed under: uncultured fungus
Lineage: Eukaryota; Fungi
Description: eukaryotic LSU rRNA
Rfam family: Eukaryotic large subunit ribosomal RNA (bases 375-1002)
Source: RNAcentral